AUACGAAAGGUGCAAGCGUUGUUCGGAUUUACUGGGCGUAAAGAGAGUGUAGGUUGUUUAUUAAGUCGGAUGUGAAAUCCCGGGGCUCAACCUCGGAACUGCAUUCGAUACUGAUAGGCUAGAGUUUGGGAGGGGUAAGCGGAAUUCCGUGUGUAGCAGUGGAAUGCGUAGAUAUACGGAGGAACACCUGAGGCGAAGGCGGCUUACUGGACCAAUACUGACACUGAGACUCGAAAGCGUGGGUAGCAAACAGGAUUAGAAACCCUAGUAGUCC
Molecule: ribosomal RNA, 274 nt
Filed under: uncultured bacterium
Lineage: Bacteria
Description: partial 16S ribosomal RNA
Rfam family: Bacterial small subunit ribosomal RNA
Source: RNAcentral